CCCCUCUCAGGGUUGCAUCUGGAGAGUUUCCAGUACUCUACCAGGCUUGACUAUGGGAGGGAGACUCAAGCAGAGGCAUAACCCUUCCAUUCCUAGCUUGGGCUUUGGCUAGCGAGUGGAAGGUAAUCUGCUGAAAGU
Tachyglossus aculeatus (Australian echidna) is the source of this 138-nucleotide small nucleolar RNA. The record is from RefSeq and is a predicted model, not a curated record. Lineage: Eukaryota; Metazoa; Chordata; Mammalia; Monotremata; Tachyglossidae.